RNAcentral lists this ribosomal RNA (468 nucleotides) under uncultured bacterium. RNAcentral's name for it is "partial 16S ribosomal RNA". It matches the Rfam family "Bacterial small subunit ribosomal RNA", at positions 28 to 507 of the family's 1533-position model. The record is from RNAcentral.
GACGAACGCUGGCGGCGUGCCUAACACAUGCAAGUCGAACGGACAGGCCCUGCUUUUGUGCGGUGCUCGAUUGGCGAACGGGUGAGUAACACGUGAGUAACCUGCCCUUGACUUUGUGAUAACUUCAGGAAACUGGGGCUAUUACCGGAUAGGAUCUCUUGCUCCAUGGUGGUGGUUGGAAAGUUUCGGCGGUUGGGGCUGUACUGGCGGGUUACCAGCUUGUUGGGGGGGUAGUGGCUUACAAAGCCUUUGACGGGUAGCCUGCCUGAGAGGGUGGCCGGGGACAUUGGGACUGAGAUACGGACCAGACUCCUACGGUAGGCAGCAGUGGGGAAUAUUGCACAAUGGGCGGAAGCCUGAUGUAGAGACGCCGCGUGCGGGAUGACGGGCUUCGGGUUGUAAACCGCUUUCGCCUGUGACGAAGCGUGAGUGACGGUAAUGGGUAAAGAAGCACCGGCUAACUACGUG